RNAcentral lists this ribosomal RNA (300 nucleotides) under uncultured Gammaproteobacteria bacterium. Its description in RNAcentral is "bacterial SSU rRNA". It matches the Rfam family "Bacterial small subunit ribosomal RNA", at positions 114 to 417 of the family's 1533-position model. Lineage: Bacteria; Pseudomonadati; Pseudomonadota; Gammaproteobacteria. The record is from RNAcentral.
CGCGUAGGAAUCUACCUGGUAAUGGGGGACAACCUGUGGAAACGCAGGCUAAUACCGCAUACGCCCUAAGGGGGAAAGUAGGGGAUCUUCGGACCUUACGUUAUCAGAUGAGCCUGCGUAGGAUUAGCUAGUUGGUGGGGUAAUGGCCCACCAAGGCGACGAUCCUUAGCUGGUCUGAGAGGAUGAUCAGCCACACUGGGACUGAGACACGGCCCAGACUCCUACGGGAGGCAGCAGUGGGGAAUAUUGCACAAUGGGCGCAAGCCUGAUGCAGCCAUACCGCGUGUGUGAAGAAGGCUU